ACACACAAAAAUUAUCAAAACCUCUCACACACACACAGUUGAAGGGAUUUUGUAUCCGCAAAAUCAACAUUUUUGCAUCGAAAAUUAAUAAUAAUGUUCAUUGUAGCAUAUAAUCAGUCAGUGUGUAAUUAGCCUAUACUACUCGCCAGAUGCAUAGAAGGUUUGGCAUUACCAGGGUUCAUAUGGAGGACAGGAGGAGGAUGCCGAGAAGUGACUGACUCCAUACAGGAACCGGGUGAAAUUCUUAGAUAAUUGGAUACUCGAAGCUGGGUAUACGUAUAAAUACAUUUACCCACUUCAUUGUGAUGUGAACGUUUCUGUUAGUCCUAUUGGACCAUUAAGAUUCGGCAUCAAGGAAAACGAGUUCUGUCACAAGUCAUGAGUUGACAACUAUGACCACUACCACCACCAUCAUCGUUAAGUAGACCAUCGUGAUAACAUUUUGGGGGUUGAAUUUGAAGAGAUGUGUUUAUGUUGGAAGGUUAUUGUUGUCAACAGGGAAGGACCAUAUAGAUACAAUGAUAUUCAUGUUCCUGUUGGAAUUGAUCACGAAACCAUUAGCACAUGAAUGUUGAACCAGGUAAGUUAGUAUGAAUAAAUGAUUUCUUUUGUUCGUCUUUACUCGUUACAAUUCUAUUUUUUUAGAACUUCAGCAGGAAAUCUUAUCGCCUUCGUAUCAGUGAUGUUAGAUCGUCGAGCAGCUGAACUUCAGAAUUUAAAAUCACAACUUGCUUUUAGCUGAAUCUGAGGGUUUAAUACAGUGCCGCAAAACGAUACUAGCUUAGACACGUAUGUUGGACAAACGUACUUCUUUUUGAUAUCCUUGCAAUUUAGUGAUUACUACUUUGUUGCUAGUGCAAGAUUCGUAAUUGAGUUGACAUGGCAAAGAGUUACGGGCGUUGGUAUCUUGCAUUGUUCGACUUUUAAAGGAAGGCAUCUGGUCCCCUUCCUCAAUCACCUCACGACCAGUUUGACAAUAUUUUCUCGAUGAACCAAGCAAGUGUUUUCUAUGGAAGUUGGCAUUAACUUAUAAUGUGGAGCUUUUUUUUUUUCCUAGUUAUCAAAUCUACUUUGCUCAAGUCGGUUGGAAUGAAGCCAUGUCGAGAUAAAGAAUUUGAGUUCACUUUCAGCAACGAAUAGAGCUAUCGAUUUUGAGAUUGCGAGGCAGGCAUCACUCUACAAUGAAGGACGCCGAGAAGAUUGUGCAAUAAGCUCGUCUUUGGGAAGAAGGCUCUCAGAUUUAACGCGACACUUACGCUUAAGUUAAUGGUGACAUAUUUUACCCAAUUUCUUAUGAAUGGGUUAUUAUUCGAAUUACGUUUUAUCUCUAACGGGUAAAAAACAUAGCUUUGAAGGAAUCGGUCAAAACUGCUGAUAAUUGUGUUUUUUAGGUAUAUAGUUUAAUCAUAUCUGACACUAUUGUAAUAGUAUAAUUUGUAAAUAAAACCAGGCUUUAGAUAAAA
Molecule: long non-coding RNA, 1463 nt
Organism: Erigeron canadensis
Lineage: Eukaryota; Viridiplantae; Streptophyta; Magnoliopsida; Asterales; Asteraceae
Exons: 7
Source: RefSeq, a predicted model, not a curated record